CAGGGAUGGGCUCGCGGCCUAUCAGCUUGUUGGUGGGGUAACGGCCUACCAAGGCGAUGACGGGUAGCCGGCCUGAGAGGGCGACCGGCCACACUGGGACUGAGACACGGCCCAGACUCCUGCGGGAGGCAGCAGUGGGGAAUAUUGCGCAAUGGGCGGAAGCCUGACGCAGCGACGCCGCGUGGGGGAUGAAGGCCUUCGGGUUGUAAACCUCUUUUACCACUCACGAAGGCCCCUGGUUUUCUGGGGGUUGACGGUAGGUGGUGAAUAAGGACCGGCUAACUACGUGCCAGCAGCCGCGGUAAUACGUAGGGUCCGAGCGUUGUCCGGAAUUAUUGGGCGUAAAGAGCUCGUAGGCGGCCUGUCGCGUCUGCUGUGAAAGUCCGGGGCUUAACUCUGGGUGUGCAGUGGAUACGGGCAGGCUUGAGGUAGGUAGGGGAGACUGGAAUUCCUGGUGUAGCGGUGAAAUGCGCAGAUAUCAGGAGGAACACCGGUGGCGAAGGCGGGUCUCUGGGCCUUACCUGACGCUGAGGAGCGAAAGCGUGGGGAGCGAACAGGAUUAGAUACCCUGGUAGUCCACGCCGUAAACGUUGGGCGCUAGGUGUGGGGACUUUCCACGGUUUCCGUGCCGUAGCUAACGCAUUAAGCGCCCCGCCUGGGGAGUACGGCCGCAAGGCUAAAACUCAAAGGAAUUGACGG
This 699-nucleotide ribosomal RNA is filed under the name uncultured bacterium. RNAcentral describes it as "bacterial SSU rRNA". It matches the Rfam family "Bacterial small subunit ribosomal RNA", at positions 220 to 916 of the family's 1533-position model. The record is from RNAcentral.